UACGUAGGGUCCGAGCGUUGUCCGGAAUUACUGGGCGUAAAGAGCUCGUAGGUGGUUUGUCACGUUGUUCGUGAAAACUCACAGCUCAACUGUGGGCGUGCGGGCGAUACGGGCAGACUAGAGUACUGCAGGGGAGACUGGAAUUCCUGGUGUAGCGGUGGAAUGCGCAGAUAUCAGGAGGAACACCGGUGGCGAAGGCGGGUCUCUGGGCAGUAACUGACGCUGAGGAGCGAAAGCGUGGGGAGCGAACAGG
This 253-nucleotide ribosomal RNA is filed under the name uncultured bacterium. RNAcentral's name for it is "partial 16S ribosomal RNA". It matches the Rfam family "Bacterial small subunit ribosomal RNA", at positions 524 to 776 of the family's 1533-position model. The record is from RNAcentral.